GGUGAGGGUGGUUCCCUAUGCCUCGACCAUAGUCCGUGUGUAAACGGGUAUUGUGGAUCGGAGCGGUGUGGGUGUUCCCGGGAGUCGUCACUAGUUAUAAUUAUUAUUUGCAGUCAAACUGAAUCAAUCUCUUUUAUCUCGGCCGGUUAGACCACGGUCGGCGGCGCCGAUGUGGUUACUCCGAGUCCAACUAAAUUGUGCCGCAUUUCGCACUAAUUUCUUUUGUUUGAUUACCCCAACUUGGACUUAGCUCGACACUGUGCGGACGAGUCUUCUUUGAAUUUAAACUUUUUAUGGGGUUGGGUGGUUGAACUUAAGUGGUGUUAACCCUGUGUUUGACCCUAAUCUAUGGGGUGAUACGGGUUAGCGUUUGAAAUUGAAUGUGGUGUAUAGCGGUCCCUUGAUGCUCGUUUCGAAUUUUGGGUUUCCUGAACUGCCAUGGGGUGUAGGAAGAUCUCCUCGGACAGGAUAUUGGCUAUGGGGGGCAAUUUGGAGUGGUGAGAAUCAGAAGUCGGACAUAUGAAGGCAGCGGUCGAAUGGCGCACUCGCUCAUCAUUCGAUUUACAAUGACCAGUUAUGCAGUCCAGUUUCACGUCGUUUAUCUCACCGUUCUCUACCCGAUGUGAGAGAUAAUAUCUUCUAUGCUUUCUGAAAUACUUUGUGUCAGUCUUCCACCUAAAUCAUCAUUCUACUUCUAUCUCAUAAGUAGAAUUAAACCGUGACCCCACACAUGUGUGGCGGGCAGUGGGAGAAGUUGAUUUGAGUUAUCAU
Molecule: ribosomal RNA, 771 nt
Filed under: Pristimantis enigmaticus
Lineage: Eukaryota; Metazoa; Chordata; Amphibia; Anura; Strabomantidae
Description: partial small subunit ribosomal RNA
Source: RNAcentral